AUUGCAGUCUGCAACUCGACUGCAUGAAGCUGGAAUCGCUAGUAAUCGCGAAUCAGCAUGUCGCGGUGAAUACGUUCCCGGGUCUUGUACACACCGCCCGUCACACCAUGGGAGUCGGAAAUGCCCGAAGCCAGUGACCCAACCUUUAAGGAGGGAGCUGUCGAAGGCAGGUCUGGUAACUGGGGUGAAGUCGUAACAAGGUACC
This 205-nucleotide ribosomal RNA is filed under the name uncultured bacterium. RNAcentral's name for it is "partial 16S ribosomal RNA". It matches the Rfam family "Bacterial small subunit ribosomal RNA", at positions 1297 to 1500 of the family's 1533-position model. The record is from RNAcentral.